GAAUACCCGCUGAACUUAAGCAUAUCAAUAAGCCGGAGGAA
Molecule: ribosomal RNA, 41 nt
Filed under: Pyricularia oryzae
Lineage: Eukaryota; Fungi; Ascomycota; Sordariomycetes; Magnaporthales; Pyriculariaceae
Description: partial 28S ribosomal RNA
Source: RNAcentral